RNAcentral lists this ribosomal RNA (525 nucleotides) under Bifidobacterium asteroides. Its description in RNAcentral is "bacterial SSU rRNA". It matches the Rfam family "Bacterial small subunit ribosomal RNA", at positions 154 to 693 of the family's 1533-position model. The record is from RNAcentral. Lineage: Bacteria; Bacillati; Actinomycetota; Actinomycetes; Bifidobacteriales; Bifidobacteriaceae.
AAACGGGUGGUAAUGCCGGAUGCUCCGCACCGUCGCAUGAUGGUGUGGGAAAGGGUUUACCGGCAUGGGAUGGGGUCGCGUCCUAUCAGCUUGUUGGCGGGGUGAUGGCCUGCCAAGGCUUCGACGGGUAGCCGGCCUGAGAGGGCGACCGGCCACAUUGGGACUGAGAUACGGCCCAGACUCCUACGGGAGGCAGCAGUGGGGAAUAUUGCACAAUGGGCGAAAGCCUGAUGCAGCGACGCCGCGUGCGGGAUGACGGCCUUCGGGUUGUAAACCGCUUUUGAUUGGGAGCAAGCGAGAGUGAGUGUACCUUUCGAAUAAGCACCGGCUAACUACGUGCCAGCAGCCGCGGUAAUACGUAGGGUGCAAGCGUUAUCCGGAUUUAUUGGGCGUAAAGAGCUCGUAGGCGGUUCGUCGCGUCUGGUGUGAAAGUCCAUCGCUUAACGGUGGAUCGGCGCCGGGUACGGGCGGACUGGAGUGCGGUAGGGGAGACUGGAAUUCCCGGUGUAACGGUGGAAUGUGUAG